AUGGCGACCCCCGUCGCCUCCCCUCUCCUCCUCCCCUCCCCGGCCCCAACCUUCCCGCCCCGCCGCCUCACCUCCAUACGUCGCCUCCUCCUCACCUCCCCCCCGCACGCCGGCCGCCCGCGCCUCCGCGACCCGCCGCCGGCGCCGGUGGAGGAGGCCGCCGCCGCCACCGUGGAGGAGUACGAGGCGCCUCCGCUCAGGCUCCUCGACCCGCCGCAGGAGGAAGAGCCCUACCCGGAUGAGAUGGAGGCGGCCGACCCGGACUUCUACCGGAUCGGGUACGCCCGGAUGAUGCGCGCCUACGGGGUCGAGUUCCUCGAGGGCCCCGACGGCAUGGGCGUCUACGCCUCCCGGGACGUCGACCCGCUCCGCCGAGCCAGGGUGAUAAUGGAGAUUCCAUUGGAGCUCAUGCUGACUAUAACUAAAAAUCAUCCUUGGAUGUUCUUUCCUGACAUUAUCCCACUAGGACAUCCUAUAUUCGAUAUUAUCGAGUCAACAAAUCCAGAGACAGAUUGGGAUUUAAGAUUAGCCUGCCUUCUUCUCUAUGCAUUUGAUGUAGAAAACAACUUUUGGCAGUUAUACGGUGAUUUUUUGCCUAGUGGUGAUGAAUGCACCAGCCUGCUUCUGGCACCGAAGGAGGAUCUAAUGGAACUGGAAGACGAAGAUCUGUCCUCAGAGAUGUUAAAACGCCAGCAGCGAGCAGUUGAUUUUUGGCAGAAACACUGGCACAAAGCAAUCCCUCUCAAGCUAAAGCGGCUUGCCCCUGACCACGAGAGAUUUCUCUGGGCAUUGAGCAUUGUUCAGUCUCGCUCUUUCAACUUGAAUAUGAGAAUGGGAGCUUUCAUUCAAGAUGCAAAUGUCCUAGCUCCUUAUGCCGAUAUGCUGAAUCACUCACCUGAUGCUAACUGUUUCCUGCAUUGGCGUUUCAAAGAUCGAAUGCUUGAAGUUAUGAUUAAGGCGGGGCAUGCUAUCAAAAAAGGAGAUGAGAUGACAAUCGAUUAUAUGAGUGCGGUGAACAGCACGUUGAUGCAAAGAUAUGGCUUCUCAUCACCAACGAAUCCCUGGGAACAUAUAAACUUCUCGAGCCCUGCCAAGAUCCACCUGGAUUCUUUCCUGUCAGUCUUCAACAUAGCUGGCCUGCACGACGAGCUGUACCACAACGUUGCAUUGACAUCGGGAGAAAGCACCUUUGUUGACGGAGGAGUGGUGGCAGCAGCAAGAACUCUGCCGACAUGGUCGGACGGUGACCUUCCUGCCAUACCGAGCGUGGAGAGAAAAUCCGCUCAGGCGUUGCAGGAGGAGUGCCGGAAGAUGGUGGAGUCUUUCUCGACCACGAUCCAACAGGACGAGGAGAUCCUAGAUUCCGACGAGCCUAUGAGGAAAACACGCGAAAUCGCGAUCAAGUACCGGCUGCACCGGAAGCUGCUCUUGCAGAAGAUCAUCGACUCGCUGGAGAUCUACCAGGAUCGGAUUCUGUUCUAG
Molecule: ribosomal RNA, 1482 nt
Filed under: Triticum aestivum (bread wheat)
Lineage: Eukaryota; Viridiplantae; Streptophyta; Magnoliopsida; Poales; Poaceae
Description: partial small subunit ribosomal RNA
Source: RNAcentral